CAGGGAGACAACAAAAUGUUUAAUAUUAUUAUUUUGUCACCUUAGGUCGAUCGGUAUCUCGCAUUUUUAAUUUAUUAAAAAUUUCAAUUCCUAAGUUUUUCUAGGUCACACCCAUUAUUUUUCCUGGGCCAUUAGCUCAGGUGGUUAGAGCGCACCCCUGAUAAGGGUGAGGUCCCUGGUUCAAGUCCAGGAUGGCCCAUAUCUCUAUGUUGGGGGUAUAGCUCAGUUGGUAGAGCGCCUGCUUUGCAAGCAGGAUGUCAGCGGUUCGAGUCCGCUUACCUCCACUGAUUACCACCUCUUCCAUAAUCUGUAGAAAAGGAAAAAUUUGAGUUGUGAUCAAAUUCUGAACGAAUCUAGCUUCCUAAUAAAAUCAUUAAGAUGCUGGACUCAUUGAAUUAAUUUCAUUGUUUUCAGAGAACCUUGACAACUGCAUAGAUUAUUUUUAAAGACAAUAAGCAUCUUUAAUGAUGCAGAUUUAUUAUUUGUGCGAAUGCAUUAAUAACAAUUCUAUUAAGCUGAUGCUUCAAUUUUGAAGUUAUU
RNAcentral lists this transfer RNA (540 nucleotides) under uncultured Prochlorococcus sp. Its description in RNAcentral is "partial 16S-23S ribosomal RNA intergenic spacer". The stretch from base 212 to 284 matches the Rfam family "tRNA". Lineage: Bacteria; Bacillati; Cyanobacteriota; Cyanophyceae; Synechococcales; Prochlorococcaceae. The record is from RNAcentral.